This is a long non-coding RNA of Malus domestica (apple), 632 nucleotides long. RefSeq lists it as uncharacterized. The record is from RefSeq and is a predicted model, not a curated record. NCBI's taxonomy places the organism in Eukaryota, Viridiplantae, Streptophyta, Magnoliopsida, Rosales, Rosaceae.
AACUCAGAUAAAGAGCAACAGGUAGUUUUCCUUCCAUAACAUAACCUCAAUUCUUCUUAUUACUCAUCUAUCUUAUCUGGAUGACUCAAUUUUUAUUUGGGAUUGGUUUUUUUGACCGGCAGAUAGAUAGGGAAGCAGAAUUAGGGAGCUAGAUGACAACAUAUUAGAGAAUUAAGGUGCUUAUUCAUCCACAUAUUAGGCUGACUAGGCUAGCCUAAUAGCUGGAGUUGGAAAUCUAGGUCUAGCUCUUAAUCAGUAGAAUUUGUCCUAUAAAUAGUGGGCGUUGGAAACCCUAAUUUGAUUUUCCCAAUCUGAGUGUUUUGAGAAUUUUGUAUAUCUGCAUACGAAAGGGGAAAUUUCAAGUCCGUUUCUGGUUUGAAGAGCUUACGGAGAAGCUCAAUUUCUGCAAAUAAGGUCAUGGACCGGAGAACUAGUUGUGUAUUUUGUGUGAAGUCUGGAGCAGUGUGUACACAAAUAAAUGAAGAAGCUCGGAUGUUUUCUUCUUUUCUUUUUGUUAUUUUGCUUUCUUUCGUGGUUUUUGGUUUGUUGGAAUAAGGAACUACUUGUGUGAUUUUUUUAGUAGUAUUUCGAAUGUAAAAGUACUUUAAUAAAGUACAUGUUUCCGCUGUUUU